Molecule: ribosomal RNA, 440 nt
Filed under: uncultured bacterium
Lineage: Bacteria
Description: partial 16S ribosomal RNA
Rfam family: Bacterial small subunit ribosomal RNA
Source: RNAcentral
CCUACGGGUGGCAGCAGUGGGGGAUAUUGCACAAUGGGGGGAACCCUGAUGCAGCGACGCCGCGUGGGUGAAGGAGCGUUUCGGCGCGUAAAGCCCUAUCGGCAGGGAAGAAGAUGACGGUACCUGACCAAGAAGCCCCGGCUAACUACGUGCCAGCAGCCGCGGUAAUACGUAGGGGGCAAGCGUUAUCCGGAUUUACUGGGUGUAAAGGGGGCGCAGACGGCAAUGCAAGCCAGGAGUGAAAGCCCGGGGCCCAACCCCGGGACUGCUCUUGGAACUGGCGGGCUGGAGUUGGAGAGAAGUACGCGGAAUGCGCGGUGUAGCGGUGAAAUGCUUAGAUAUCGCGCAGAACCCCGAUUGCGAAGGCAGCGUACCGGCUCCACACUGACGCUGAGGCACGAAAGCGUGGGUAUCGAACAGGAUUAGAUACCCUUGUAGUC